AGCUGUGACCACAGCUCAAGGACACCAGGACCCAGGUUCUUGGUCCUCUUUGGUUUUCUUCACCACAGACCAAUGGUUGCUCCUACUCCUCUGGAAGCUUCUCUGCAUUAGACGAAGGAUGUUUGAAACUCUUCAAGGAGUGGGACUGACCGAAUACCAGUCUGAUCCUGGGUGAGCUGGACUGCCACGUGCCCUUCAGCAGAGAGCCUUGGUAAGAUUCUUAAUUUUAUCCUCAGAUCCUUGGAAACGGGAAAUGGUAACAACACUUAGCCAUUUGUUGAUUUCAGAAUGUAAAAUCUCAGAAGAGAUUAUUCUUCUUGUCU
Molecule: long non-coding RNA, 323 nt
Filed under: Oryctolagus cuniculus (rabbit)
Lineage: Eukaryota; Metazoa; Chordata; Mammalia; Lagomorpha; Leporidae
Description: lncRNA (ENSOCUG00000032933.1)
Source: RNAcentral